RNAcentral lists this ribosomal RNA (572 nucleotides) under Cordulephya pygmaea. RNAcentral describes it as "eukaryotic LSU rRNA". It matches the Rfam family "Eukaryotic large subunit ribosomal RNA", at positions 1389 to 1888 of the family's 3401-position model. Lineage: Eukaryota; Metazoa; Arthropoda; Insecta; Odonata; Corduliidae. The record is from RNAcentral.
UCGCGGCGGUGUGCGCAGAAGGGUCUGGGCUCGAGCCUGCCUGGAGCCGCCGCCGGUGCAGAUCUUGGUGGUAGUAGCAAAUACUCCAGCGAGGCCCUGGAGGACUGAUGUGGAGAAGGGUUUCGUGUGAACAGCCGUUGCACACGAGUCAGUCGACCCUAAGCCCUAGGAGAAAUCCGAUAUAAACGGCGAUGGGAAACACACACUUGACUCUUGUCCGAAAAGACGAAAGCCCAUUGAUCGGGCGAAAGGGAAUCCGGUUCCUAUUCCGGAACCCGGCAGCGGAACCGUUGUUUGUCGGGCCCUCACAAGGGGUUCGUCAGGGCAACCUAAAAGGGCCCGGAGACGCCGUCGGGAGCCCCGGAAAGAGUUUUCUUUUCUGCAUGAGCGUUCGAGUUCCCUGGAAUCCUCUCGCAGGGAGAUAGGGUUUGGAACGCGAAGAGCACCGCAGUUGCGGCGGUGCCCGGGAAUUCCCGACGGACCUUGAAAAUCCGGGAGAGGGCCACGUGGAGGUGUCGCGCCGGCUCGUACCCAUAUCCGCAGCAGGUCUCCCAAGUGAAAAGNCUCUNGUC